RNAcentral lists this ribosomal RNA (207 nucleotides) under uncultured delta proteobacterium. RNAcentral's name for it is "partial 16S ribosomal RNA". It matches the Rfam family "Bacterial small subunit ribosomal RNA", at positions 568 to 774 of the family's 1533-position model. Lineage: Bacteria; Deltaproteobacteria. The record is from RNAcentral.
CGUGCAGGCGGGAGGGAAAGUCUGAUGUGAAAGCCCGGGGCUUAACCCCGGAAGGGCAUUGGAAACUACUCUUCUUGAGUCCUGGAGAGGAAGGGGGAAUUCCCGGUGUAGAGGUGAAAUUCGUAGAGAUCGGGAGGAAUACCAGUGGCGAAGGCGCCCUUCUGGACAGAGACUGACGCUGAGACGCGAAAGCGUGGGGAGCAAACA